UACGUAGGGAGCGAGCGUUGUCCGGAAUUACUGGGUGUAAAGGGAGUGCAGGCGGGACUGCAAGUCAAAUGUGAAAUGUAGGGGCUCAACCCCUGAGCUGCAUUUGAAACUGUGGUUCUUGAGUGAAGUAGAGGUAAGCGGAAUUCCUAGUGUAGCGGUGAAAUGCGUAGAUAUUAGGAGGAACAUCAGUGGCGAAGGCGGCUUACUGGGCUUUAACUGACGCUGAGGCUCGAAAGUGCGGGAAUCAAAC
Molecule: ribosomal RNA, 250 nt
Filed under: uncultured prokaryote
Description: partial 16S ribosomal RNA
Rfam family: Bacterial small subunit ribosomal RNA
Source: RNAcentral